Molecule: non-coding RNA, 68 nt
Organism: Hepatocystis sp. ex Piliocolobus tephrosceles
Lineage: Eukaryota; Apicomplexa; Aconoidasida; Haemosporida; Plasmodiidae
Source: the annotation of a GenBank genome assembly
UUUAUAAUGAUGAGAAACACAGACCUGAUUUGAUAUACAGUGUGAAAAUAAUUCUACUGCUGAAUAAA